RNAcentral lists this ribosomal RNA (447 nucleotides) under uncultured bacterium. Its description in RNAcentral is "bacterial SSU rRNA". It matches the Rfam family "Bacterial small subunit ribosomal RNA", at positions 329 to 793 of the family's 1533-position model. The record is from RNAcentral.
GGCCAGACUCCUACGGGAGGCAGCAGUGGGGAAUAUUGCACAAUGGGGGAAACCCUGAUGCAGCGACGCCGCGUGAGUGAAGAAGUAUUUCGGUAUGUAAAGCUCUAUCAGCAGGGAAGAAGUUGACGGUACCUGAGUAAGAAGCCCCGGCUAACUACGUGCCAGCAGCCGCGGUAAUACGUAGGGGGCAAGCGUUAUCCGGAAUUACUGGGUGUAAAGGGAGCGUAGACGGUGAAGUAAGUCUGGAGUGAAAGGCGGGGGCCCAACCCCCGGACUGCUCUGGAAACUAUUUGACUGGAGUGCAGGAGAGGUAAGCGGAAUUCCUAGUGUAGCGGUGAAAUGCGUAGAUAUUAGGAGGAACACCAGUGGCGAAGGCGGCUUACUGGACUGUAACUGACGUUGAGGCUCGAAAGCGUGGGGAGCAAACAGGAUUAGAUACCCGAGUAU